RNAcentral lists this ribosomal RNA (758 nucleotides) under uncultured Streptococcus sp. RNAcentral's name for it is "bacterial SSU rRNA". It matches the Rfam family "Bacterial small subunit ribosomal RNA", at positions 29 to 776 of the family's 1533-position model. Lineage: Bacteria; Bacillati; Bacillota; Bacilli; Lactobacillales; Streptococcaceae. The record is from RNAcentral.
GAGAACGCGGGGCGUGCUAAUACAUGCAAGUAGAACUUGAAGGAGGAGCUUCUUCUCUGGAUGAGUUGCGAACGGGUGAGUAACGCGUAGGUAACCUGCCUGGUAGCGGGGGAUAACUAUUGGAAACGAUAGCUAAUACCGCAUAAGAGUAGAUGUUGCAUGACAUUUGCUUAAAAGGUGCAAUUGCAUCACUACCAGAUGGACCUGCGUUGUAUUAGCUAGUUGGUGGGGUAACGGCUCACCAAGGCGACGAUACAUAGCCGACCUGAGAGGGUGAUCGGCCACACUGGGACUGAGACACGGCCCAGACUCCUACGGGAGGCAGCAGUAGGGAAUCUUCGGCAAUGGACGGAAGUCUGACCGAGCAACGCCGCGUGAGUGAAGAAGGUUUUCGGAUCGUAAAGCUCUGUUGUAAGAGAAGAACGAGUAUGAGAGUGGAAAGUUCACACUGUGACGGUAUCUUACCAGAAAGGGACGGCUAACUACGUGCCAGCAGCCGCGGUAAUACGUAGGUGGCAAGCGUUAUCCGGAUUUAUUGGGCGUAAAGAGAGUGCAGGCGGUUUUCUAAGUCUGAUGUGAAAGCCUUCGGCUUAACCGGAGAAGUGCAUCGGAAACUGGAUAACUUGAGUGCAGAAGAGGGUAGUGGAACUCCAUGUGUAGCGGUGGAAUGCGUAGAUAUAUGGAAGAACACCAGUGGCGAAGGCGGCUACCUGGUCUGCAACUGACGCUGAGACUCGAAAGCAUGGGUAGCGAACAGG